UGGGGAAUAUUCCGCAAUGGGCGAAAGCCUGACGGAGCAAUACCGCGUGAGGGAGGAAGGUUCUUGGAUUGUAAACCUCUUUUCUCUGGGAAGAAUUCUUGACGGUACCAGAGGAAUCAGCAUCGGCUAACUCCGUGCCAGCAGCCGCGGUAAUACGGAGGAUGCAAGCGUUAUCCGGAAUGAUUGGGCGUAAAGCGUCUGUAGGUGGCAGUUCAAGUUCAUUGUCAAAGACUGGGGCUUAACCUUGGAAAGGCAGUGGAAACUGAGCAGCUAGAGAGUGGUAGGGGUAGAGGGAAUUCCCGGUGUAGCGGUGAAAUGCGUAGAGAUCGGGAAGAACACCAGUGGCGAAAGCGCUCUACUGGACCAGUUCUGACACUGAGGGACGAAAGCUAGGGGAGCG
This 400-nucleotide ribosomal RNA is filed under the name uncultured bacterium. Its description in RNAcentral is "bacterial SSU rRNA". It matches the Rfam family "Bacterial small subunit ribosomal RNA", at positions 355 to 770 of the family's 1533-position model. The record is from RNAcentral.